UAUCCGGAAUUAUUGGGCGUAAAGGGCUCGUAGGCGGUUCGUCGCGUCCGGUGUGAAAGUCCAUCGCUUAACGGUGGAUCCGCGCCGGGUACGGGCGGGCUUGAGUGCGGUAGGGGAGACUGGAAUUCCCGGUGUAACGGUGGAAUGUGUAGAUAUCGGGAAGAACACCAAUGGCGAAGGCAGGUCUCUGGGCCGUUACUGACGCUGAGGAGCGAAAGCGUGGGGAGCGAACAGGAUUAGAUACCCUGGUAGUCCA
This 256-nucleotide ribosomal RNA is filed under the name uncultured bacterium. RNAcentral's name for it is "partial 16S ribosomal RNA". It matches the Rfam family "Bacterial small subunit ribosomal RNA", at positions 542 to 797 of the family's 1533-position model. The record is from RNAcentral.